GUGAAUCAUCGAAUCUUUGAACGCACCUUGCGCUCCAUGGCAUUCCGUGGAGCAUGCCUGUUUGAGUGCCGCGAAAUCUCCCACCCCUAGCGGUUGCCGCAAGGCGCCGCCGGGCGGCGGGGUUGGUUGGGUGCCGCUGCCUGGGCUUUGGCCCAGGCUCGCCCGAAAUGCAUGAGCGCUUAGCACUCGCACCGUCUCGAGGGAAGGCGGCGGAGCUGGCAUCUGCGCAUGGCAUGAUACGUCAUUUGCUGUGUGGCAGCCCAGCGACCCGAGAGUGUGUGUGCGCUACUACACGCCCUU
RNAcentral lists this unclassified non-coding RNA (300 nucleotides) under uncultured Malasseziales. RNAcentral describes it as "sequence contains 5.8S rRNA gene, ITS2". The stretch from base 1 to 71 matches the Rfam family "5.8S ribosomal RNA", at positions 84 to 154 of the family's 154-position model. Lineage: Eukaryota; Fungi; Basidiomycota; Malasseziomycetes; Malasseziales. The record is from RNAcentral.